UUUGAMUUUGAAAAAUGGACUGCUCAGUAAUACUCACUUUAUUUUAUGUAAAUUUUUAAUUAACUACGUUAAAGUGUAGAUAAGAUGUUUACAGUAAGAGUGAGACCUAUCAGCUAGUUGUUAAGGUAAUGGCUUAACAAGGCUGUGACGGGUAACGGUAUUACUUUGUAAUAUUCCGGAGAAGGAGCCUGAGAGACGGCUACUAAGUCUAAGGAUUGCAGCAGGGGCGAAACUUGACCUAUGGAUUUUAUCUGAGGCAGUUAUGGGAAGUAAUAUUAUAUUGUUUCAUAUUUUAAAAGUAUAUGAGGUGAUUAAUUGGAGGGCAAAUCAAGUGCCAGCAGCCGCGGUAAUACUUGUUCCAAGAGUGUGUAUGAUGAUUGAUGCAGUUAAAAAGUCCGUAGUUUAUUUUUUUAAAAAGCA
This 420-nucleotide ribosomal RNA is filed under the name Nosema sp. RNAcentral's name for it is "SSU rRNA". It matches the Rfam family "Microsporidia small subunit ribosomal RNA", at positions 59 to 478 of the family's 1311-position model. The record is from RNAcentral. Lineage: Eukaryota; Fungi; Microsporidia; Nosematidae.